GGUGAAAUGGCCGAGAGGCUGAAGGCGCUCCCCUGCUAAGGGAGUAUAGGGUUUAUCCCCUAUCGAGGGUUCGAAUCCCUCUUUCACCGCCA
Molecule: transfer RNA, 92 nt
Filed under: Hydrogenovibrio marinus
Lineage: Bacteria; Pseudomonadati; Pseudomonadota; Gammaproteobacteria; Thiotrichales; Piscirickettsiaceae
Also listed under: 5 other names
Description: tRNA-Ser
Rfam family: tRNA
About the family: Transfer RNA (tRNA) molecules are approximately 80 nucleotides in length.
Source: RNAcentral